GAAUUGACGGGGGCCCGCACAAGCGGAGGAACAUGUGGUUUAAUUCGAUGAUACGCGAGGAACCUUACCCGGGCUUGAAUUGCAGAUGAAGGAUCCAGAGAUGGUGACGCCCUUCGGGGCAUCUGUGAAGGUGCUGCAUGGUUGUCGUCAGCUCGUGCCGUGAGGUGUCGGCUCAAGUGCCAUAACGAGCGCAACCCCUCUCUUCAGUUGCCAUCAGGUGAUGCCGGGCACUCUGGAGACACUGCCACCGCAAGGUGUGAGGAAGGUGGGGAUGACGUCAAAUCAGCACGGCCCUUACGUCCGGGGCUACACACGUGUUACAAUGGGGGGUACAGAAAGCCGGCUGCCCGCAAGGUCAGUCCAAUCAAGAAAGCCUCCCUCAGUUCGGACUGGGGUCUGCAACCCGACCCCACGAAGCUGGAUUCGCUAGUAAUCGCGCAUCAGCCAUGGCGCGGUGAAUACGUUCCCGGGCCUUGUACACACCG
RNAcentral lists this ribosomal RNA (485 nucleotides) under uncultured Prevotella sp. Its description in RNAcentral is "bacterial SSU rRNA". It matches the Rfam family "Bacterial small subunit ribosomal RNA", at positions 907 to 1392 of the family's 1533-position model. The record is from RNAcentral. Lineage: Bacteria; Pseudomonadati; Bacteroidota; Bacteroidia; Bacteroidales; Prevotellaceae.